RNAcentral lists this ribosomal RNA (412 nucleotides) under Xenophrys minor (tiny spadefoot toad). RNAcentral's name for it is "partial 16S ribosomal RNA". It matches the Rfam family "Archaeal large subunit ribosomal RNA", at positions 1927 to 2492 of the family's 2987-position model. Lineage: Eukaryota; Metazoa; Chordata; Amphibia; Anura; Megophryidae. The record is from RNAcentral.
UUUGAAUAAUAUAAAAGGUAAUGCCUGCCCAGUGACCAUGUGUUCAACGGCCGCGGUAUUCUGACCGCGCGAAGGUAGCGUAAUCACUUGUUUUUUAAAUAAAGACUAGUAUGAACGGCCACACGAGGACCUGACUGUCUCCUUUGUCCAAUCAGUGAAACUGAUCUCCUCGUGCAGAAGCGAGGAUUUUCCCAUAAGACGAGAAGACCCUAUGGAGCUUUAAACCUUUAUCAAUUAUUUUCUUCACCCUUCUAAGGAACUAACAACCAGUUAAAUUCCCUUGAUAAAAGUUUUGGGUUGGGGCGACCAUGGAGAAAAAGAAAUCCUCCCUGAUGAUAACCUAACCAAGAGCCACAGCUCUAAGUAUUAAGACACUUAACUCCUAUUGACCCAUUUUAUGAUCAACGAACCA